UAGGUCUCAGUUCAGAUUGCAGGCUGCAACCCGCCUGCAUGAAGUCGGAAUUGCUAGUAAUCGCGGAUCAGCAUGCCGCGGUGAAUACGUUCCCGGGCCUUGUACACACCGCCCGUCACACCAUGAGAGUCGGGAACACCCGAAGUCCGUAGCCUAACCGCAAGGGGGCGCGGCCGAAGGUGGGUUCGAUAAUUGGGGUGAAGUCGUAACAAGGUACC
This 218-nucleotide ribosomal RNA is filed under the name uncultured bacterium. RNAcentral describes it as "partial 16S ribosomal RNA". It matches the Rfam family "Bacterial small subunit ribosomal RNA", at positions 1282 to 1500 of the family's 1533-position model. The record is from RNAcentral.